AUGGGACAUGAAGCAAGGCAAGCUGAUAAGAGACUUCACACUUCCAAAGCUCACAGUUAUGCAGAAGUGUUUUGUGGUCUCUACAAUGUGCUUCGAGAGAGCCAGUGAUCCUGUCAAAAAACUCAGUACAGAACCAGCACCUUUAGCCUGAGAGUAAUGCAGGGCCUGUCCAGGGUGACCAGGAAGACCAGCAUAGUUCACUUUCUUUAUUCUCGGGUGAAAUGAUA
Molecule: unclassified non-coding RNA, 227 nt
Filed under: Hevea brasiliensis (rubber tree)
Lineage: Eukaryota; Viridiplantae; Streptophyta; Magnoliopsida; Malpighiales; Euphorbiaceae
Source: RNAcentral